UCUGAUAUGUUGCAAGGUAUUGAUGAUGCUACUUUUGCUAUGAAUGCUACUCAUGAUGAUGUUAGUACCUUGCUUGAUGAUGAUGUGGCACUAGGCAAAUUUCUUGAUGAACAAAUUGCUAGAGUGAGACAACACGAUAUUGUUGAAACUGCUGAUGAGCUUGAAACUGAAAAUCUUGAAACACCUAUUAGAACUAGCCUUCCUAGAUAUGAAUUGCCAAAAGUACCGGAAGGUUAUGUUAUGAGUGAGGAGGCAACUAGAGAUAUUCUUGCUUGUAAGGAUAGAGAUGAUAUACAAAAAUUAUUAUGCAAGUAUAAAGAAAGAUCUUUGAAUGCUAAAAUGAAAUGUGAUCCUAAGUUUGCUACUUCACCUAUUUGUAUUGAUGAUAAGGAUUAUGAAUUC
RNAcentral lists this ribosomal RNA (402 nucleotides) under Triticum aestivum (bread wheat). RNAcentral's name for it is "partial small subunit ribosomal RNA". The record is from RNAcentral. Lineage: Eukaryota; Viridiplantae; Streptophyta; Magnoliopsida; Poales; Poaceae.